Molecule: long non-coding RNA, 725 nt
Organism: Uranotaenia lowii
Lineage: Eukaryota; Metazoa; Arthropoda; Insecta; Diptera; Culicidae
Exons: 4
Source: RefSeq, a predicted model, not a curated record
AAUUUGUGACAAUCAUGCAACGGACCAGGAAUUUACGGACUGAACUCUUGUCGCUGACAUGUUCAGUCGAUAAAUCCCCGGGUGCAUACCAACAUAAACGAUGGAUUCAGACAGGUCUGAUGCUGAGAAUAUACCGAGGUCCUUGCCGUGCAUAUUCGCGACCUGGUAUGAGCUCGUUCCUCUUUUGGCUGUGAUGACGACCGGGGUAUAUUGCGGCCCCAGCUUGGCGUUGAAGGACGAACCUGCAGCCGACUGCCUAAAGGACCUUUUGAAGACCCGUUGCCCUAUGUCGAAGGUCGGAGCAUAUCUUUUGUGACCAGCAUGCGCAAAGACCUUUCUUGCUGUUUUCUCUGAGGCGAUAGCGACACGUUCCGAAUACGCAACUCGUAUUCUAGCUCAUCUACGGUUAGAUGUGCUACAUUCAUACCAUAGUACUGUAAGGUUAGGUGUGACAUUUCCAUCUUGUGUGAUGCAACAAUAAGUUAAACUGAAUUAAAAUCUAAGCAUACACUAUGAUUGAUCAGGAAGCAAUUAAUUAACAGGAAACCUAUAUACUAUAAUUAACAAACGCAACACUGAAUUUACACUACUGAUACACAAAAUAAAAAAUAGAUAAAACCGACACGAAUGAAAACACAACUAUAUAAUUAAACAGUUUAAAAUCUAUUAGCUAAUCAUAAGUAUCACAGUGUAAAAUAAAGGUUUUGUAUUUGUUUGUUUUUUGA